UCCAGACUCCUACGGGAGGCAGCAGUGGGGGAUAUUGCACAAUGGGGGGAACCCUGAUGCAGCGACGCCGCGUGGGUGAAGAAGUAUUUCGGUAUGUAAAGCCCUAUCGGCAGGGAAGAAAUUGGACGGUACCCGACUAAGAAGCCCCGGCUAACUACGUGCCAGCAGCCGCGGCAAUACGUAGGGGGCAAGCGUUAUCCGGAUUUACUGGGUGUAAAGGGCGUGUAGCCGGGUUGACAAGUCAGAUGUGAAAUCCUGCGGCUUAACCGCAGAACUGCAUUUGAAACUGUUGAUCUUGAGUACUGGAGAGGCAGACGGAAUUCCUAGUGUAGCGGUGAAAUGCGUAGAUAUAAGGAGGAACACCAGUGGCGAAGGCGGUCUGCUGGGCAGCAACUGACGGUGAGGCGCGAAAGCGUGGGGAGCAAACAGGAUUAGAUACCCUAGUAA
This 447-nucleotide ribosomal RNA is filed under the name uncultured bacterium. Its description in RNAcentral is "bacterial SSU rRNA". It matches the Rfam family "Bacterial small subunit ribosomal RNA", at positions 330 to 793 of the family's 1533-position model. The record is from RNAcentral.